Scophthalmus maximus (turbot) is the source of this 109-nucleotide ribosomal RNA. Lineage: Eukaryota; Metazoa; Chordata; Actinopteri; Pleuronectiformes; Scophthalmidae. The record is from Ensembl.
GCUUACGGCCACACCGCCUGUUUCACGCUUGAUCUCGGAAGAUAAGAAAGGUUGGGCCUGGUUAGUACUUGGAUGGGAGAUCGCCUGGGAAUACCAGGUGCUGAAGGCC